UACAGAGGGGGCAUGCGUUAUUCGGAAUUAUUGGGCGUAAAGGGCGCGUAGGCGGCCUUGCAAGUGACGGGUGAAAUCCCUCGGCUUAACCGAGGAACUGCCUGUCAAACUGCAUGGCUUGAGACCGGGAGAGGUGAGUGGAAUUCCCAGUGUAGCGGUGAAAUGCGUAGAUAUUGGGAGGAACACCAGUGGCGAAGGCGGCUCACUGGACCGGUACUGACGCUGAGGCGCGAAAGCGUGGGUAGCAAACAGG
RNAcentral lists this ribosomal RNA (253 nucleotides) under uncultured bacterium. Its description in RNAcentral is "partial 16S ribosomal RNA". It matches the Rfam family "Bacterial small subunit ribosomal RNA", at positions 524 to 776 of the family's 1533-position model. The record is from RNAcentral.